AACGCUAGCUACAGGCUUAACACAUGCAAGUCGCGGGGUAACGAGAGGGAAGCUUGCUUUCCUUGUCGACGACCGGCGCACGGGUGAGUAACGCGUAUCCAACCUGCCCAUUACCACGGGAUACCCCGUCGAAAGGCGGCCUAAUACCGUAUGCAGUCGUCAGAUGACAUCAGAGGACGACGAAAGGAUUGGCGGUAAUGGAUGGGGAUGCGUCUGAUUAGGUAGUUGGAGGGGUAACGGCCCACCAAGCCAUCGAUCAGUAGGGGUUCUGAGAGGAAGGUCCCCCACAUUGGAACUGAGACACGGUCCAAACUCCUACGGGAGGCAGCAGUGAGGAAUAUUGGUCAAUGGGCGCAGGCCUGAACCAGCCAAGUAGCGUGAAAGAUGACUGCCCUAUGGGUUGUAAACUUCUUUUAUAAAGGAAUAAAGUCGGGUAUGCAUACCCGUUUGCACGUACUUUAUGAAUAAGGAUCGGCUAACUCCGUGCCAGCAGCCGCGGUAAUACGGAGGAUCCGAGCGUUAUCCGGAUUUAUUGGGUUUAAAGGGAGCGUAGGCCGGAGAUUAAGCGUGUUGUGAAAUGUAGUGGCUCAACCUCUGCACUGCAGCGCGAACUGGCAGACUUGAGUGUGCGCAACGUAGGCGGAAUUUGUGGUGUAGCGGUGAAAUGCUUAGAUAUCACGAAGAACUCCGAUUG
Molecule: ribosomal RNA, 694 nt
Filed under: uncultured bacterium
Lineage: Bacteria
Description: bacterial SSU rRNA
Rfam family: Bacterial small subunit ribosomal RNA
Source: RNAcentral